GAUGAAGAACGUAGUGAAAUGCGAUAAGUAAUGUGAAUUGCAGAAUUCAGUGAAUCAUCGAAUCUUUGAACGCACAUUGCGCCCGCCAAUAUUCUGGCGGGCAUGCCUGUUCGAGCGUCAUUUCAACCAUCAAGCCCCAGGCUUGUGUUGGGGACCUGCGGCUGCCGCAGGCCCUGAAAACCAGUGGCGGGCUCGCUGUCACACCGGGCGUAGUAGAUUUUAUCUCGCUCAGGGCGUGCUGCGGGUUCCGGCCGUUAAAAAGCCUUUUUUACCCAAGGUUGACCUCGGAUCAGGUAGGAAGACCCGCUGAACUUAAGCAUAUCAAUAAGCGGAGGA
This 336-nucleotide unclassified non-coding RNA is filed under the name soil metagenome. RNAcentral's name for it is "partial contains 5.8S ribosomal RNA, internal transcribed spacer 2, and large subunit ribosomal RNA". The stretch from base 1 to 120 matches the Rfam family "5.8S ribosomal RNA", at positions 35 to 154 of the family's 154-position model. The record is from RNAcentral.